Molecule: ribosomal RNA, 406 nt
Filed under: uncultured bacterium
Lineage: Bacteria
Description: bacterial SSU rRNA
Rfam family: Bacterial small subunit ribosomal RNA
Source: RNAcentral
CGCGUGGGGAAUCUGCCAAUGAGUGGGGGACAACAUUUGGAAACGAAUGCUAAUACCGCAUAAAAUCUAUUGAGACAUCUCAAGAGAUUGAAAGGAACAAUUGUUUCGCUCGUUGAUGAUCCCGCGUUGUAUUAGCUAGUUGGUGAGGUAACGGCUCACCAAGGCGAUGAUACAUAGCCGACCUGAGAGGGUGAUCGGCCACAUUGGGACUGAGACACGGCCCAAACUCCUACGGGAGGCAGCAGUAGGGAAUCUUCGGCAAUGGACGAAAGUCUGACCGAGCAACGCCGCGUGAGUGAAGAAGGUUUUCGGAUCGUAAAGCUCUGUUGUUGUUAAAGAACGUUGAUGAGAGUGGAAAGUUCAUCAAGUGACGGUAAACAACCAGAAAGGGACGGCUAACUACGUG